UGCAGGCUGCUGUUUAUCAGUGGCGGCUGCUGCUGCUAUCAGUAACACAGCUCAUCAUUCACUGCCACAUUGUUCCAACAAACAAUGGGCCCGUGUUCGCAGUGUGCACUACAGAAAUCUGAUUUACUGAUCAAUGGCCUUGAUGGUUUUGUCUUCCACACAAUGAGCCGUGAUGAGACUGUGACAAGCUGAAGGUGGAACAAUGGCAGCCAGGAGUUUUCUACUUCACCUGCAUUCUUUCUUGUUUUCAUUUGGCCUCAUAUGCAAAAAUAAGUUUGUCUCCAACUGUCGCUGUGAACACAGUUUUCUGAGCAAACUUGGCUUGAACUUCGAUCCAGUGAAGCGCUCUCCGUUGGUUGAGUGGCAGCAGUUGGAUCCUCACAUGGCUGUUUGUCAUUCUCUGCAGGUUAAACCCCCGCUGGGCACAGAACACGGCUUCUGGGCCACGCGUCCACGCGAAGGAUUUGUUGUCUGUGCUGCACAGACACCACAGAAGAAGAGUUUUCCGUCCGUCUUUCCGUCCGUCCGUUCGUCCGUCUGUCCGUCGUUCCGUCCGUCCGUCCGUCCGUCUUUUCGUCCGUCGUUCUGUCCGUCCGUCCAUCCGUCCGUCUGUCCGUCGUUCUGUCCGUCUGUCCAUCGUUCUGUCCGUCUUUCCGUCCGUCUCUUCGUCCGUCUGUCCGUCGUUCUGUCCAUCUGUCCGUCCGUCCGUCUUUCCGUCCGUCCUCAUGCCUGUCACGCCUCAGCGCCGCUCUCUGAAUGGAUGCCGCUCGCUCCGCAGACUCGUGGAUCCUUCAUCAGUCACACACGCUUGUGUUUUUCCAGGAGGAGGAGGAAGAGACGGAUGCCACCUGGGUUCCCGCUCACCGUUCGUGAGGCGUUCAGGGGCCGGUGCUUUCUGUUCAGAUCAGAACUCUUCCUUCAAGAAACCCACGAAUCGAUGGACAGUGAAGGAGGAUUAAGAGAAUUCAACCAGAAAAAAGGAAGCGUGUGUCUGCAGGUGAGCCGGCCGAGCCGCAGCACAUCAUAUUACUGCAGAUGAAAUAUUAAAGAGCAGAGUGAGAAGAACACGCCGACUGACGGUGCCAGAGGAAACGCAAAGAUGGACGAGUGUGCGAAGAAGUUCAGACAGAGUCCGUCACAGCGGAGAGGAGGCAAUGUUGCCGUGGCGACAGGUAUGACACCUGCGCAGGAAGUCAGGGAUGAGCACAAAUAGCAGAGGUAAUGAAGAAGGAAAGAGAAGUCCAGAUCCGAACUGUGUGGACUACAGAAACCGGCCGCAGGUCAAAGGUCACAUGGUUCAAUGCCACCCACUGGAUCCGGUGCCGGCUUUGUCUGUUUGCUGGCGGUGGAAGGUUUGCAUUAAUGGACCCGGCAGCAGACAAUGACGCUCGGCGCUGACGCCCGCCCAAGCUGCAGCAGCUGAAGAACCGGCCCCACCGGGUCGACCCAGCGGACUCUGAGCGGACGCUCGCUGCUUGUUCACUUACUUUAAACAGAGUGUGAACACGGGCGACGUUGAGGGAAGGUCAGUGUGCGUGUGAUGCGUCAGCCGGGUCGUCGCUCGGCUAAUUGGCCUGGAAAACACGCAGCCGCCUCGUUGUUGUUGGUCGGAUCAGCAACACACAACACACUGUAAAUGAACAUUAAAGACACACGGGCACGUCCUCCUCCAGCGCACGGACACAUCAUUUAGAAAAAACAGAGGAGAGAUGGCAAAUAGAUAAUGAGACGGCUAAAAGCUUGAUCUUGAGAAUAAUUUGCUUCUUUUGCUGCAUGGCCUCGAGUGGGGAAACCGUUAAUCAAAGGUUAGAAUGAAAUCAAAUUUGUUCAAAGAUCCUUUUCCCCAAACAUUUAAGACUUGGAGGGCGAGAACAGCAGAGGGAAAAAAUCCAAUUAUUUUCCUCUUUUAUCACUUCACUCGUUACAAAUAAGACACGCUUUCUGAGAGGCAACACAGUUUAGUUUUAUAAUUGCUGUUUUACCACCUGCCAGUUCAGCUAACAGUCACUCCGUCUCUGUCCUCCCUCUCACGACUCUCC
RNAcentral lists this long non-coding RNA (2039 nucleotides) under Betta splendens (Siamese fighting fish). RNAcentral's name for it is "lncRNA (ENSBSLG00000018893.1)". The record is from RNAcentral. Lineage: Eukaryota; Metazoa; Chordata; Actinopteri; Anabantiformes; Osphronemidae.